This 84-nucleotide microRNA precursor is filed under the name Bombyx mori (domestic silkworm). RNAcentral's name for it is "mir-2807 microRNA precursor family". It matches the Rfam family "mir-2807 microRNA precursor family". Lineage: Eukaryota; Metazoa; Arthropoda; Insecta; Lepidoptera; Bombycidae. The record is from Rfam by way of RNAcentral.
UUAACUCAAAUUUGUAUGGAAUUGGAACGUUUGCCUAUAUCCGCCGCUAGGGGCGCUGUUCCCACUCCAUAAAAAUUUGAGUUA